AUUGAACGCUGGCGGAAUGCUUUACACAUGCAAGUCGAACGGUAGAGGGGGCAACCCCUCGAGAGUGGCGAACGGGUGAGUAAUAUAUCGGAACGUGCCCAGUCGUGGGGGAUAACGUAGCGAAAGUUACGCUAAUACCGCAUACGAUCUACGGAUGAAAGCGGGGGAUCGCAAGACCUCGCGCGAUUGGAGCGGCCGAUAUCAGAUUAGGUAGUUGGUGGGGUAAAGGCUCACCAAGCCAACGAUCUGUAGCUGGUCUGAGAGGACGACCAGCCACACUGGAACUGAGACACGGUCCAGACUCCUACGGGAGGCAGCAGUGGGGAAUUUUGGACAAUGGACGCAAGUCUGAUCCAGCCAUUCCGCGUGCAGGAUGAAGGCCCUCGGGUUGUAAACUGCUUUUGUACGGAACGAAAAGGUUUCUAUUAAUACUAGGAGCUCAUGACGGUACCGUAAG
Molecule: ribosomal RNA, 457 nt
Filed under: uncultured bacterium
Lineage: Bacteria
Description: bacterial SSU rRNA
Rfam family: Bacterial small subunit ribosomal RNA
Source: RNAcentral